Non-coding RNA from Rhopilema esculentum, 4856 nucleotides. The record is from RefSeq and is a predicted model, not a curated record. Lineage: Eukaryota; Metazoa; Cnidaria; Scyphozoa; Rhizostomeae; Rhizostomatidae.
GGAAUAUUCUGAAAUGUAUUUUAAGCUAAUUUCAAGGGCGUCGUCGCAAAAAUUUUAUAUAGGGGAGACCCUCUUUUAUAUAUCUACAGAAUAUUCAACACUUUUUGCUCGUUUUUGGAUUUGUAAAGAAAAGUCUUUCACGUUCUUGAGACAUUCCCAAUAAAAUAGAAACUAAAAUGCUAAAGCAAUCCAAUCCUUGAAAAAACUGGAUUCUGAAAUGCUUCUCGUUGACAUUGCUCCAAAGAGAACGGACUUGUUUUAAAACUUUUGAAUACUGUUAACUAUUUUUAGAUAUUUGAUAACAACUUUGGAAAAUCACUUUUUAUACGUAGUGCUUCCUUGCAUUACACAAUUCAGGAUAUAAAUGUUAGUGGAAUGGUGAAGGAAAUAGACAGUUGUAGAAUAUGGUCAGCCACAAAACGCUACAUAUGACAUUGUAUAAAGGGAAAUUGCCACGUAAAAAUGCCAUAGUUUUCCCAAACGCAUUUCCAAGGGUCUUGUCAGCAAAAAUGUUCUCCUUUUUGCCCCAUCUAUCUUCCAACCCUGGCUAUGCCACUGCUUUUUAUCGUCUUUACCUUAAAGUUGAAACCAAAUUUUAAAAAUGGGCGUUUACCAGUGAUUUAAAGGGUGUAGCAUCAAAAUUAGUGUCUAACACCCCCAAUCAUUGUUGCUUAAAUCUGCCCCUGGCCCUUAGGGAUACUUUGCGUCGCAAGUCGCAUUCUUCUCUAUAUUUCAAAUCUCGCCUUCUCUUUGCUCGGCUCGUUCCUUUUCUAGCCACUUGAUAACGAGUACAUGCUCAAAACGUCGUGUUUUCAACAAUCAAACUAUUAUAUUUUCAUUCUGGUACUAAAUUUAUUUGCUAACUAUAUUAUUGUACGUGACUUUUCCCUUUCAAACUAUUUCAAGACGGAAUGUAAUACAGAGUAGAAAUUUGUUUAAUUGUGAUAAAUGUUGUGUUUUGUUUGAUUUUACAAAAAAAUAAUUAUUAAGAAUAUUCUAGCUCAAAAUCAUCAAACUUUUAUAAAUGUUGUAAGAAUAUUUCUCAGGUAUAGCUUGCCCAUUUUUCAGCAGUUGCUUGUUUCGACAUUUACAUAAGAGAGAAUCGCUACACUGACCUUCCCCUUUUUUCCAAAAGCGCGUUUUCUAUUCAAGAACGAGGGAUGUUCUCCUGAAACCUUAGAUUCGAAAAACUAAGAAUAAUUCAAGAAUAUAUUUGGGUUAAAGGGAAAUUUCGUAAGAAAACCGAGGCUGGACAAAAUUUAUAAUAUUGUUAUAAAAAGAAUGUAGUUAUUGGUCCUCUUUCUGUUAAAUUGUUGUCCUGGAUUAUAGGUCUUGAGCUGGGGUCUUACAUAAACAACGGCCAUCGACAUUAGUUGACCUUAGCUUGACAACAUGACAUAAUGGUUUAAGUUUGUUGCAAUAACACAGAUAAACUUACCGUAAAUUCCCUUUUAAGCCCCCCUGGGGGCUUAUUGUUUUUCAGCACGUUAAAGGAGGGUUAUAAAAGAAGGGGGCUAAAUUGGGAGAGGGGCCUUAACAAAACUUUUGUAAUUUAAAAUCAUUUAUAGUGGUUAACUAAUUUUUUGCUAUUUGCCAUAUAAAAAAAACAUCAAAUCAGCCUUCUAAACGGGCUGUAAUUUUGGUAUAAGGCUGUCACAUGGCCCCUGCUCAAAUCACAUUAAAUCUUUGUCUUCGGAUCCUUCGAGACUGGAAGAAACAUGGUGCGAAGUUGGAUUUUAUUAGAAGUAUUGAAUGACCAAUGAAUAAAAUGAAAACCUGCAUUUUUUGCUAGGUUUACUUAUUUUGGCAUCAGUGAAAAUUUGGGGGGGGGCUGCAAAUUGAGAGGGGGCUUAUUUAAUUUUUCCUUCUGAUUCAGUCACAUCAGCUUGCUUAGGUGCCAGUAAUUUUAACCUCCUUAUAGAAGCAUAUGUAUGUAUGUAGAAAUUUGUCUGAUGAUAUUUCCGUAGCACAGUGCUUGGCAACCGUUUUCCUGGGAUUGUCGGCACAUCGUGAAUUGGUUUCUAGCGCCACCCCCGACCCUCACUCAGUAGUAUAUUCAUAAUUCUAGUGUUAUUAGAUGCUUCUGGGGGUGCUUGGGGGUGUUUCGUUAGAAACUUGAGAGGGGGCAGAAACUACCAUUUUGCCAAAAGAGCUUAUUUUAUAUGGGGUGCCACGAAUGCUCUCUCGUCUUCGGUUCCAAGAUAUGAAUAACCAAAAUUGUUCUAAGGUCUUUAUAAGUGUUUUUUAGGUUUUUUAAAAGGUUAUGCUCGGUUAUUCAGAAAGUUAAGAAAGUUCAGGGCUGUAUCUUUGAAGCCAAAGAAUGUUGAAAAUUUAGAUAAUAAAAAUUUCAACAGAAGUUACCUUUCAAGAGUGAAAUGUUUACUGCAUUCCAUCUUCUUCAUCACUGUACAUGCUCAAUAACGUAAAACUCUUCGAUUUACGUUUAGACAGUGUUAAGAACGUUUCAGGCUUAACAAUAAUUUUUUGCGUAAAAAACGUGUAUCGCUAAAAUAAUUUAAUUUCUUAACCACACAAAGAUUAGAGAAUGGCGAUGCCAAGGGAAGAACAAUUCCUGUCCCGCUGACCUUGGGUCUGAAAAGCAAAGCGUUUUGAAAGAGAAAUCGUGUUUUUAUCAGGAUUAGUCUAAUAUUUAGCCACGAUUAGGCCUGCAAACAAAAGGCUGCUUCCUUUUUAUUCAAGAGAUUUCAACUUGAAGUAAACCACGAUUUCAUGACAAAGAUUGAUUGAUGGGAAAUUAUGAGAAUAGGGGAUGUUAGGAAUCCUUGUUUGUUACCCAAACCUUAAGCAAGGUACAUAAACCGAAAUAUGGGUCGGAAAGUUAUCUCCUCUACGUUUUUUGUAGUCGUUUACGAAUUGUUUUUGGUGUUUUGUUUGGUGUCAAAAUUAUGUUAAGGUCUGCAUUGUUCUUAUACAAUCGCCAUACACCUGCAAAUGGGUUAACAAUGAGGCAAAGCGUGGUUACGAACAUGACAUCAUGUCCGCCUUACGUUUCAGAUUAAUUAUAGCGCAUAUUUGAAAUCCGCGGUAUGUUUUCAUUUAGAACAUUGUGAAUUUCUCAGAGAUGAACUAGGCUACAAUCUAUCGAUCGACGAAAUAUCUCGUUGAUGUGGUACUCAACCAAACUUGAAUUGUAACGAGUAGUUCUGCACUGUUUGGAUCAAGACUAGUUGGAAACAAACAAUAAGAGCAGCAUGCCGUGCCAGAUGUGAAUGAAGGCGAUAGACUUUGCAUGGUUAGCGAAUCUUCAACAAUGUGAGUUCUCGGCAGGACCAAACGCGAUCUGGACAUGCCCGUUCGAAGGCUCAAAUGUAUCUAAAGGUCACUUUCGGACACUGUAUAAGCGCAUAGAUUGUUGACUUAGCGAAUAAAGAAGUUCAGCUGUGGUUGUUUGCGGAUUUAGAGUUUCAGCAAGAUCUAGUCAUAUUAAAAUACCUAUCAAUUAGGAAGUACUUUUGCCUGUGAAAAGCUGAAGAAAUGUCAUAAACUAUGGGUCUAAAGUUUCGACAAGUUCGCAAAUUUUAUUUUACUCUAAUUUUUCUGUUUAUAGCUGCCUUUUUAUUGAUGGCUAAAUUUUCUAAACGCUAUUCUUGCAAAAAUCGGCUCAGUGAAAACUGCGCUGAAGAAGUAACAGAGCAGCGGCUUGACGAAGCUAAUCACAACGACGCCCGACGUGAAGUGCAACAGUUGAUCCAAGGAGGUCAGACAUUAGAAGGAAUCAAGACUGGCCCUAACGUUCCAAAGGCUUCAAAUCGCUUUAGGAGAAUGGAAAGCGACUCAGUCCCUUACCGGGAGAUUCCAGAUCAUCAUAUCCUACCAGGGGAAAAAAUAAAGCCUUUUACUACGGCGAAAAGAGUUAUAACUCUUUCCAAAGAAGUACGAAACUUUGAAGUAAAAAGCAUGUUCAUACAAAUCAAAGAAGCAGACAGUCCGAAAUUUGGAGAUUUUAGAUGCAGUGCUACUAUAGUUCCUGACUGUUGUGCAUUUACUGUAAGUGAUACGAACGAAGCCAAGCGAAUUUGUGAGGCUUUCGGAGUUUUCUGCAAAGGAUUUGUUAUGAGUACUAUUAGUUCAAAGGCCGACUCUUUUGAAUAUGUUAUGUAUUUGAAAAAAGACCUGAACGGAACAAUGGCAAAUUUUCUGACUGACUUUUUUAUUAAAGUUGACUUUUUAGAUGAGCUAAAAUGGAAUAAUAAAAGGUAGCAAUGUGAAUUUAUGGUUGAAAAAUUUAUGAUUAAGGUAAGCCUCUCGAAAAUAAUUUAAAGAAAAUAAUAUCGUCGUUACCUUGCAUUGGUAAUUUCGGUAACUUCUUUAAAAGUAUACAUUAGAGAUAUCAGGAUAAUUCAUAAUGUUGCCAAUUACUUGAUGAAAACAUCGACAAAAGUUUCCCUUGGUUCAACGCCUGAAGGUCGCCGCCUUAAAGUUGCUGUAGAAAAUUUAACAGUAAAUACUUAGAGGCAGCGCCAUUUAAUUAAUUAAAAAUUAUGUUCUAGUUUGCGUCGUAUGGCUGGAAAUCACCUGCAACAAUUAUUGUUGUUUCAUCUUUUGAGGAGUUGCUCAUUUUAGAUUAUGCGAUCUUUAAUGCCAUUUUAUUAUACAACUGUAGAUAAAAGGACAAUUCUUGCAAUUUUGAAAUUAAAGUACUUUCCUCCGAACCCCUAAAAACCAAGUUAUUUCUUGUAGACUAAAAUUCAGUUUCUAGCUGUAGUCUUGCAAUUUUUGAAAGGAAAUGUUUUAUUAUUUGAAAGUGCCGAGAAGGUUUUAAUACCUUUUGCGAUCGUUUUUUGAAAUAAUGCAUUUAAAUUAUUAUUAUUAUUACCACAAUAUCUGGGCUUCAA